Non-coding RNA from Uloborus diversus, 74 nucleotides. NCBI's taxonomy places the organism in Eukaryota, Metazoa, Arthropoda, Arachnida, Araneae, Uloboridae. The record is from the annotation of a RefSeq genome assembly.
GCUCCGAUAGCCCAAUGGCUAGAGCGCGCGGCUUUUCGAGCCAGUGGACCUGGGUUCGAGUCCCAGUCGGAACG